AAACCAAUGUACCAGAAGGAAUCUGCACUCUAACAACAUCAAUCAUCACCCAAAGGUAUAUUCUGCUAUAGACAAGUUAAUUUCCUAAUAUAUUAUUACUCGCUGUCUGCAUUAAGUUAUCUCCCAGCUUUUGUGGAACAGUUAACUAUUUCAUACAUAAUAUCAUAACACGAACUGAUCACACUACCCUCAACUGCACAACGGCUCUUCAUAUUCAUUUACAAUAUUAUUUAUAGACUUUAAGAAAGGGUUCAUUUAAGUUUACACCUGGUGUAGAUAAAUUGCAGCUCUGACAUCUUAAAGCACAUGUUCACUGGAAUAACGAGAUGUUUGAUUUGCAGCUACCUUCACCAUGGCAUUCUAGCCAUUGCUCACAAUAUCUACAAUCUGACUAAUCUAGCCACACAUGCACCUUUUUUUUGGGUUUUGGUUUGGAAUAACGAGAUGUUUGAUUUGCAGCUACCUUCACCAUGGCAUUCUAGCCAUUGCUCACAAUAUCUACAAUCUGACUAAUCUAGCCAUACAUGCACCUUUUUUUUGGGUUUUGGUUCAUUGCCUGCAAUCUAAUAAUAAUGAAAAAGUCCCAACAAUUUAUGACACUCAACUGCCCCAUUCAAGUAUGGAUAAAACCUGAUAUGCCGUGUGGAAAGACAAGCUAGAUGAGAUCUGAUAUAAGCCCGUUGCAAAGACAAGAUAUAAUAUUGUUUAAGUUUUGAUUCUGAGUAUCUCGACCUCUUACUUUCUAUUUUUUUGAUCACUUUUUAGAUGUUAAUAUUUAUUUACAUUUCAUUUCAGUAUGAUUUUGUUAUGCAAUUAUUGUAGCCAAAAUUUCUCCUUCAGUGUCUCGUCUGUGUUGUAGCACACUGUAUUUGUCAGGGAGGAGUUAUGGAUGGUUGAUUGUUCUCGUGAUAAUCUUUUGUAACUACGGUAUUAUUACAGCUUGUAUAGAGUCUUGAUCAAAUCUAGUCAUCCAAAAUGUAUUUUGGAAGACCUAUUGCUCCUGUAAGCUCUCUUAGCUAAUGCCUUUGCCUGCGACUGUAAUAUUGGAGGGCUUCCAAGGAUUUCCGCAUCAUGAUCCGCCACGCAAAUCCGUGUUGGAAUUUAUCAUGUUCAGCCACUCUGCCUUUUGGAGCAAGUUCUGAUUCUAAUGUUUUUCCUGCGACUGUAAUAUUGGAGGGCGUCCAAGGAUUGCUGCAUCAUGGUCUGCCACCCAAACCUGUGUUGGAAUUUAUCGUGUUCAGCCACUCUGCCUUUUGGAGCAAGUUCUGAUUCUGGAGUUCCACUUGUGCUGCCUUCUCACUAUUUGACAGAGACAAUGGAGUAGCGAUGCAGGAUCGGAGGUUGAUUGAUGAAGUGAGGCGUUGACACAUGAGCCUGACCUAGCUGAGCCUAUGUUGUAUGUUUUCAUGAUUGUGUUUUAGCUCUUGCUGCUCUCCGAUUUUUGAAUAUCAUCGAUACUGAUGGAUAAUGCCUGCUCAAUUGCAGGGAUCUAGGCACCACGCAGGGAUCUAUGCAGCACCCACCUCUCUUGCAUGCCCGUGUUUUCUAGCGAUGACAUAACAAGCUUUUUGAGGAUUGCCUUGAAUUCAUGUCUUGCGGAGUAUGCUUCAACUGUACCUGAAUGCCAUCAUGGUGCUUUUCGAGAGAGGAGCUACAACGAAGAAGUGUUUCAGUAGUAAUGGAAAACAAGUGAUUGAGCUGACAAGUAUUAUUUCCAUCGAGAAGCCUUUUUUUCUGCUAGGAACACCUCAAUCAGCGUUCUUCCUUUACCCUUCAAUAGCUAAGCUUUUUAGCACAUGG
Molecule: long non-coding RNA, 1800 nt
Filed under: Populus tremula
Lineage: Eukaryota; Viridiplantae; Streptophyta; Magnoliopsida; Malpighiales; Salicaceae
Description: long non-coding RNA (PTRE_LNC001745)
Source: RNAcentral